GAUCCUGGGAGCUCCUUCCAGCUCCUACAUCUGGACGACGACAACUGAAGGUGCCGAGACUCGGGGACCCCCAUCACCCUCGCCGAGCCGCGGGUAACUCUCCUGGUAGUGACGACACUUGAUAUACUCGGACCUUUCACACGUUGCCUCACUGAUGGUGCGAAGUGAUGGAUCACUUUGAUUUCAGCGUGCACUGCCCUCCUUCCUAAUGAGGCUGAGCAUCUUUACCAGUGUUUACUCCUCCGGAUGGAGCAGUCUGGCGCUUCCAUUGAACUCAGAUGGAGUCUUGCUUUGUUGCCCAGGCUGGAGUGCAGUGGCGCAAUCUCGGCUCACUGCAGCCUCCACCUCCCAAGUUCAAGGGAUUCUCCUGCCUCAGUCUCCCGAGUAGCUGAGAUUACAGCUUGCAUGUCUUUUGAGAAGUGUCUGCUUAUGUCCUCUGCCCAUUUUUUAAUGGAGGUAUGUUUUUUGUUUAUUGAUUUAAGUUCCCAAUCGAUUCUGGAUGUUAGACUUUUGUCAAAUGCACAGAUUGAGAAUAUUUUCUCCCAUUCUGUAGGUUGUCUGUUUACUCUGUUGACAGUCUCUUUUGCUGUGCAGAAACUCUUUAGUUUAAUUAGGACCCAGCACUCUAGUCUUUUACACGUUUCAAAGCCAUAAGUGUGAAGACUAUAGCAACAGUAUGUCUGCUGGCUGGAGUAGAAUCUGCCAGUCUGAAUCCUAUGAAUGCAACCUGAAAGAAUUAUUUUCCCCUUUUUUUUCUUUUUUGAGAUGGAGUCUCGCUUUGUUGCCCACGUGGAGUGCAGUGGCGUGAUUGGCUCACUGCAAGCUCCGCCUCUUGGGUUCAUGCCAUUCUCCUGCCUCAGCCUCCCGAGUAGCUGGGACUACAGGCGUCCACCACCAUGCCCAGCUAAUUUUUUUGUACUUUUAGUAGAGACGGGGUUUCACGUGUUAGCCAGGAUGGUCUCGAUCUCCUGACCUCGUGAUCUGCCCGCCUCAGCCUCCCAAAGUGCUGGGCCACCACACCUGGCCUAUUUUCCCUUAAAAGAGAAAACUUUCUCCCCAAGAACCAAAUUUUAACUCAAACUCUUUAUACAAUAACUUACUCUUAUUAAAGUUUGGGUCUUUUCUGAUUAUUAAAGUAACAUAUACUUGUUUUAGAAAAUUUGGAAAAUACAGAAAUGUAUUAAACUAAGAAUCACCCAUAAUUCCACUUCCACCCAGAGUUCAUUGCUCUGCAGGUUUUAGCUUUGUCCACUGAAUCUGAGCUAGUCCAACUUUCCAAAUCUUGUCAUAGACCAACUUCCAAAGCAUUCACAUCUUUUCCCAUAGGAAAUGACAUCUAAACAUGUAACAUAUAAAAAAAAAGUACUCAAACCAAAUGUUUCUUUACAAAGUGAUUUCCUACAAAACCUCUAUUUUCCAAAUUCCUAUGAGCUAGAGACUCGGAUACAGACUACUGAGCGUUUAUUAAAAUAACAAGAGAACAAAG
This 1486-nucleotide long non-coding RNA is filed under the name Piliocolobus tephrosceles (Ugandan red Colobus). RNAcentral's name for it is "lncRNA (ENSPTEG00000008944.1)". The record is from RNAcentral. Lineage: Eukaryota; Metazoa; Chordata; Mammalia; Primates; Cercopithecidae.